GAUGAACGCUGGCGGCGGGCCUAAUACAUGCAAUUCGAGCGAACAGACGAUGAGCUUUCUCCUCUAACGUUAGCGGCUGACGGGUGAGUAACACUUGGAUAACCUACCUCUAAGUCUGUGAUAACUUCGGGAAACCGGCGAUAAUACCGUACCAUAUAUUCCACCGCAUGGUUCAAGAGUGAAAGACGGUUUUGCUGUCACGUAUAGAUGGAUCCGCGCCGCAUUAGCUAGUUGGUAAGGUAAAGGCUUACCAAGGCGACGAUGCGUAGCCGACCGGAGAGGGUGAUCGGCCACACUGGAAGUGAGACACGGUCCAGACUCCUACGGGAGGCAGCAGUAGGGAAUCGUACGCAAUGGGCGAAAGCCUGACGGAGCAACGCCGCGUGGGUGAUGAAGGUCUUCGGAUCGUAAAACGCUGUUAUUAGGAAAGAACAAAUGUGUAAGUAACGCUCAACGUUCUGACGGUACCUAAACAGAAAGCCCCGGCUAACUACGUG
This 497-nucleotide ribosomal RNA is filed under the name uncultured bacterium. Its description in RNAcentral is "partial 16S ribosomal RNA". It matches the Rfam family "Bacterial small subunit ribosomal RNA", at positions 28 to 507 of the family's 1533-position model. The record is from RNAcentral.